This 147-nucleotide unclassified non-coding RNA is filed under the name uncultured Sordariomycetes. RNAcentral's name for it is "sequence contains ITS2". The record is from RNAcentral. Lineage: Eukaryota; Fungi; Ascomycota; Sordariomycetes.
CAACCCUCAGGCACCGCCUGGUGUUGGGGCACCACCGCCGUCGUGGGCCCGAAAGUCAGUGGCGGGCGUCCCCUGGACCCGAGCGCAGUAGCACAUCUCGCUUAGGGCGCCGGGCGCGCUCCGGCCGUAAAACCCCCACACUUAGAA